RNAcentral lists this long non-coding RNA (645 nucleotides) under Calidris pygmaea (Spoon-billed sandpiper). RNAcentral describes it as "lncRNA (ENSCPGG00000008098.1)". The record is from RNAcentral. Lineage: Eukaryota; Metazoa; Chordata; Aves; Charadriiformes; Scolopacidae.
UACAUAUAAUUUAUAGAUACUGCAAGAUAUAGAACGUAUAUAGUCACAUAAUAAAAAGUAUAAUGUAACAUAAUAUCAAAUAUAUAACUUCUCCCCCCAGUGUUCAUCUUGCAGUACAUGUCCUUUGUACCUCAGUAUUGCUAAUCAGAUCACAGAGGGAGAAACAGCUGUCCUAGAAGUUCUCAUAUGAAGGGGACAACGCUGAUUCUGGGCAAUUCCUCAAUUUUGGAAUGUGGUGCUUUCCACGAAUACCGUAUUCCUGUCUGAAAUCAUGACACAAGAAAACUGCAGUCAGCCUUUCCCCAAAGAAGCACCUGAACAGACAGCACGUCUCUGUCACUCUCACCUGGUCUUAUGGUCCAUUAGGUCCAGUCAAGUUCUGUUACGUCUGAGGACCAGCCCAUCUUUAAGGAGAACUUCACUGGCCUGAAGAAAAUGCCAAAGUGAGGGCUUUCUUCUGCACCCAGAUUUCUAGAGAACUUGAUGUUUUCUAGGUAUUCUGUAGAUAAAUAGAUAUAUUUUGCUUCUGAGGGAUCUGUUUAGAAAGUGUGACGGACUUGUUGGGUGAAGACUGACAUUUCUUUACUUCAGCAUUUUGUCAUUUUUUUUGCUUCAUGAAUAAAAUAGUACAUCGUUAGUUUGACA